RNAcentral lists this long non-coding RNA (234 nucleotides) under Spirodela polyrhiza (greater duckweed). RNAcentral describes it as "long non-coding RNA (SPOL_LNC001261)". The record is from RNAcentral. Lineage: Eukaryota; Viridiplantae; Streptophyta; Magnoliopsida; Alismatales; Araceae.
GCCGACGAUGGCGGAGCUGGAGCAGUUCCUUCAACUAGCUCACGCGGGGUGAGAUCCCGUGCUCACUGAAAUUCUUCCCUGUCACUUCUUACCGCUUUCAUGUGGGAGUAACGGCUCGACGGCACGCUGCCGCGGCGGCCCAGCGGAACGCACACAAUAGGAGCGCCAAGAAGGUUGACAAAACAUCGGAGGCCUAUGGGAAGGUGCUCAGCUUUGAUCUUGCUUAAUCUUUUC